Molecule: ribosomal RNA, 477 nt
Filed under: uncultured organism
Description: partial 16S ribosomal RNA
Rfam family: Bacterial small subunit ribosomal RNA
Source: RNAcentral
ACACUCCUACGGGAGGCAGCAGUGGGGAAUAUUGCACAAUGGGCGCAAGCCUGAUGCAGCCAUGCCGCGUGUAUGAAGAAGGCCUUCGGGUUGUAAAGUACUUUCAGCGGGGAGGAAGGCGAUAAGGUUAAUAACCUUGUUGAUUGACGUUACCCGCAGAAGAAGCACCGGCUAACUCCGUGCCAGCAGCCGCGGUAAUACGGAGGGUGCAAGCGUUAAUCGGAAUUACUGGGCGUAAAGCGCACGCAGGCGGUCUGUCAAGUCGGAUGUGAAAUCCCCGGGCUCAACCUGGGAACUGCAUUCGAAACUGGCAGGCUAGAGUCUUGUAGAGGGGGGUAGAAUUCCAGGUGUAGCGGUGAAAUGCGUAGAGAUCUGGAGGAAUACCGGUGGCGAAGGCGGCCCCCUGGACAAAGACUGACGCUCAGGUGCGAAAGCGUGGGGAGCAAACAGGAUUAGAUACCCCGGUAGUCCCAUGAU